RNAcentral lists this unclassified non-coding RNA (329 nucleotides) under soil metagenome. RNAcentral describes it as "partial contains 5.8S ribosomal RNA, internal transcribed spacer 2, and large subunit ribosomal RNA". The stretch from base 1 to 120 matches the Rfam family "5.8S ribosomal RNA", at positions 35 to 154 of the family's 154-position model. The record is from RNAcentral.
GAUGAAGAACGUAGCGAAAUGCGAUAAGUAAUGUGAAUUGCAGAAUUCAGUGAAUCAUCGAAUCUUUGAACGCACAUUGCGCCCCUUGGUAUUCCGAGGGGCAUGCCUGUUCGAGCGUCAUUAUAACCCCUCAAGCUCAGCUUGGUGUUGGGGCCUGCUGCACAGGCAGCCCUUAAAAUCAGUGGCGGCGCCAUCUGGCUCUAAGCGUAGUAAUUCUUCUCGCUAUGGAGUCCUGGUGGAUGCUUGCCAUCAACCCCCAAUUUUUCUAUGGUUGACCUCGGAUCAGGUAGGGAUACCCGCUGAACUUAAGCAUAUCAAUAAGCGGAGGA